GAAAUCCUCCUAACUUCCACAAGGGCUGAGUACUGCUGACAUUGGGAAUGCUGACUUCAGUCUGCUUGCCAUUCUAAUUCCCCUAGUAAAUUAGUCUACCCACACUCAGACUUACCACGUCUUACUUAAGUUCUUGCUUGAGUGAGAUGAUGAGUGGUUUUUCUUUUUCUCCUGUCCACUCCUCACACCCCUUGAAGCAGGAAACAUUCAAAGUUUCGGUAAUGGGUGUGGGGUAGGUGCAGGGUUUCCGUAAACAGAAGUCAAGACCUGAGAAGAGAAAGAUGAUCUUAAGCAUUUUUUUUUUCCAUUUUGGCUAUGAUGCCUGACACAUGGGAUCUUAGUUCUCUGACCAGGGAUCAAACCCGUGCCCCCUGCAGGGGUCCUAACCACUGGAUUCCUAACCACUGGACCUCCAGGGAAGUCCCAAUAAGCUUACAGUUUAAUAAGGCGCCAGAGAGCCACUAGCAGGAAUUCAAGAUCUGACUGUCUUCUAGAUACAUCCCUACCACCCCUCUUCCCAACCAGAGCAGAAAGGUCAUUCACCCUUGCCUCCCGGGCUGGCCAGCUCCACUUCCCUUUCUCCUCAUCUUCUCUGCCGGUUUUUAAAAAUAGCUACGCACUAACAUUCUGGAAAUGAGAGGAACAUAUUUUUUUUUAACAUUUGGUAGCUAAAGUUACAAACAUUGAUAUCUGCAGCAGCAAGUUCUCGGUUUUGCCACUUGUUUUACUGCCAUGGAAUCAACUAACAUUGUCUAUGGGCUCCAAUGUGAGUAACAUAAAAAGUACGGUAUUACAGUACAACAGCUGGCAUCGAGUGACCAGGCAAGAAGAGUUACUGACUGGAGGAGGGAAGAUGGUAGAACUGAAGGAUCACCAGCAACAGGAGAUGGAGGGCAAGCUGCAACAUCACUCAUGCCUGACGUUGAUGGAACAUACAUUCCCAUCUUUGAAAGUUCAAAACGUGACGAUUUGUAUGUAGGGAACUUAUUAAUGCUUUUAUUAUAAACUGUUUUUGAACAAUAAAUAUACAGUAAUUUUAUUCUAAUUGGUGGAA
Molecule: long non-coding RNA, 1054 nt
Filed under: Bos indicus x Bos taurus (hybrid cattle)
Lineage: Eukaryota; Metazoa; Chordata; Mammalia; Artiodactyla; Bovidae
Description: lncRNA (ENSBIXG00000005198.1)
Source: RNAcentral